RNAcentral lists this ribosomal RNA (435 nucleotides) under uncultured Lachnospiraceae bacterium. Its description in RNAcentral is "bacterial SSU rRNA". It matches the Rfam family "Bacterial small subunit ribosomal RNA", at positions 341 to 792 of the family's 1533-position model. The record is from RNAcentral. Lineage: Bacteria; Bacillati; Bacillota; Clostridia; Lachnospirales; Lachnospiraceae.
ACGGAAGGCAGCAGUGGGGAAUAUUGGGCAAUGGGCGCAAGCCUGACCCAGCAAUGCCGCGUGAAGGAAGAAGGCUUUCGGGUUGUAAACUUCUUUUAAGUGGGACGAUAAUGACGGUACCACUUGAAUAAGCUCCGGCUAACUACGUGCCAGCAGCCGCGGUAAUACGUAGGGAGCAAGCGUUAUCCGGAUUUACUGGGUGUAAAGGGAGCGUAGGCGGUGAUGCAAGUCAGAAGUGAAAACCCGGGGCUCAACCCCGUGGAUUGCUUUUGAGACUGUGUUGCUGGAGUACAGGAGGGGCAGGCGGAAUUCCUGGUGUAGCGGUGAAAUGCGUAGAUAUCAGGAGGAACACCGGUGGCGAAGGCGGCCUGCUGGACUGUAACUGACGCUGAGGCUCGAAGGCGUGGGGAGCAAACAGGAUUAGAUACCCUGGUA